CACGAUCGCGUGCCGGAGCUGAAGCUGCUCGAAGAAUAGUACUUGAACUAUUGCUCGUAAAGGAAGACGCUCGUUUUGUGCCGCGUGUGUGCACGCUUCUAAGGUUAGUUUCUCGCAGUCCAUUACUCCGCUUAUCUUCUCUCUCUCCGCUUCCGAUAGCCAUGGAUGCGCCUGUAAAAAAAUGCAAAAAUAAGUACGUAUAAUAAAAUCUCGAUCAAUAAAUAAAUUCGAUGAAAUAUAUGUAUUUUGAUCUCAAAUAUAGACUCUGGUAAAUGAAUAAUCUCGAUUCACAAUUACAAUCUUUAUCGAUACUCUAUUUAAAUACGCUAAAACCUACUGCUAUCAUAUAUUCAUAUAGUUUAACUGUACAAAACAAAGUGAAUUCUGUAAAUAUAUAUACACAAUUAGUAAUUAAUAGCUCUGUAAUUUCACUAUAAAACAGUAAAUGAAUAUAUAGGUAUAAUUUUGGGAGAUAAUGGACUUACUUUGAGAUAAACGUCAACCGCUCUGUAUAGACCGUCAUCAUACAGCCUGGCUUGAUGAGGUAAAGUUAUGGCAAAUUUGUAAAAUUUAUCUUGUUUGAGAUUAGCAUCAGAUGCAAUUUCCGAUAAGUAACCGUCGAUCAGUUUCCCGACGAGCAUCAAUUCUGACGGUGUUAUGUUUUCGUUGUCUUGUUCGUCCUCGUUUCGUGUCAUUGAGAUUUCAAGUUCAUCCAGAAAGUAACCUAAUAUCCUUUCCACACAGUCGACAUCGUAUAGCGUUUCGUUGAGGUACGAGUAGCUCGGUAUGAGAAGAUCGUCUAGUGUGGCUUGUUCGAGUUGUGAUCCGAUCUUCUUCUCCAAUGCGUCGCGAUAAGUCUCAGCAAUGUUCAAUAUAUUUGCUGUUCUCAGUAGUCCGAAUAAAAAUUUAAUUGCGGAGGUUGAAGAUGCGAGCCUCUUUUCGUGUGGGAGAUUCGAGAUUAUUGUUUCAAGAAGCUCUCGUUGUUCAUCUUGUGAUGGAGGUAAUGAAGUAGACGACGAUUGCUUCCAAUUUGAACGAGAUAUGCCUGGAAUGUACCUCUGCGCAUAAGCGAUUAAGCAACCUUCAAUUAGAUCUGGACUGGUGUGAUCUCGAGCUCUCAAGGCGGAAAUUAAUCGCUUAAACAGAGGCAAACCGAGAUCGCCAAGCUCAUCGAACCACGUAUUGCUUGUCCUUCGUCUUCCUGUACCAGAAUCUGUUUGCGAAGCUGAGGCUGGUUCGUUUACUGGCCAGCCAAAAAGUGACGGAUCUGUAGUAGAAGCUCUUUUAGCAACAGAUUCCAGGCAUCUAUUAACAAUGCCUAGUUUCUCAGCUUGAGGCAUUAUCAUCUUGCAUGAUUUCAGCGUCUUGAUGGAGUCUUUUAGGCUCUUGAGAACAGAUUGGGAGAGAAAUCUCUCUGUUCUCGAUAUGAGAUUGUCUUCAGAGUACUCGUCUGUCAUUUCUAAGAACUCCGCAGCGCAUCGGAGAGGAGCCACGUUCAAGGUAGUCAACUCGAUUUUGACUCCGUAACAGAAUUUGGCCGCAAUCUCAAAUGUAUCCGAGCCUCCCGGGAAAUCCGGGAGAAUUAUACUGCAGUACUCCAGACCUUCUUCUUCGACAAUCUCUGAACGAUGUUCGUCGUUAUCGUCCUCAUCUUCGCCUAAUUUUUGGAGUCUACUAUUACUUGGAUUAUUCUCCUGAUCUGUUAUCAGCUGGUGAAGUUUCCUACUUCUAGACAUUAGAGGGAACUGCAGAAAAAAAAAAUCAAUACAUUCAACAUUCUAGAUUAUAAUAUCGAAAAUUCGAGUGGCUGAAACUCAGACCGACCUUAUGGAGAUGAAAGGCCAUGUCGUCGACUUCGAUAACAACGUCGCUGGGUAAGCCGGUGGUACAAAACCUGAACACACACAAGACAAGAAGCAAAAACAUCAACAAUAUGCAGGUGAACUUAAAGAUUAGCUGAAGAAUGCAAAAUUGUAUUAUACUAAAAGCCCAACUUUACACACCAUGCUUGCCCUUUAGAGCUGGGCUUGUCAGUAGCCAUUAUCUUUCAACAAACUGUGGAGACAAACUCAAGAGAGAAGCAGAGAGCACUAACAAAGAUACACCAUUAUUAAAGCAACAGAAGAAAAGAACAAAUUUAAGUGAUGAGUACAGGGUAAAUGAAGAGCAGUUGAGAAUAUAUAAUGGGUAAGAUAUAUACAAGUGAGAAGAGACAAGGUGGGGUUUGAACAGAGUCGAAAGAAUGGAUCAAAAUUAGAGUAGAGUUUCCGCGAAUUCUCUCUCUUUUUUGAAUCUUCCUCCCCUUUCUCACUUGCUCUUUCUGGAGAUGUUAUUAUUAGAAAGUGAUGACUUUGAAUUUUCUGCUGUUUUUAUGGACUCUUCUUGACAUUAACGAUCCCCUCAUUGUCAUCAGAGAAACUAACUAUUGCUUUCCAACUGGUUUUAUUGCUUUUAUGGAUUUUUAUUUUAUUUUAUACUCCCUCCGUUUCAAUUUACAUGUCCACUUUCAAAAAAAAAAUUUGUUUCAAAUUACUUGUCCACUUACACUUUCAAUGCAAAAUCAUAUUUCCAAAGUCAAUUUUCCUCCACAUAUCUCUUAUUUAUAUUUCCUAGAUCAAUCUCACACCACAUAUUAUGCUCAUUUAAUGCAAUUAAUUUGUGAACAACUACUUUUCUUCACUUUUCUUAAACUGUGUGAUUUUUUUAAAGUGGACAUCUAAUUUGAAACGGAGGUAGUAUUAUUACGAGACGAAAGUAUGUCACAGAUAGAGAACGGGAAAAAAUUGUUAUCGAUUAUUUAUUUAUUUAUUUAUGGUACACUGAAUAUCAUCUUAGGUAUUAGAUUAAUAACCAGUGGACAUGUUAUUUGGUUCCCGAGUUACUUGAAAUCAGUUACAUUGUCAAAAAUGAUAUCUCACCUAUUGUAACAGAGGAAAACGACACGAAAUCAUGCAACCGUUAGAGAGAUCUCUCCUUGCAAUAUUUUAAUUGAAUUUUAAUAAUUCUGUAACAAAUUUGACAGGGAUGAGUUGUUGUAUCUUGAAAAAAAUCACUAUAAUUCGACAGAUAAUGGCAUUAGUUGUGUGGGGUUGUUUUCGUUUAGAAUUUUGUAACUAAAUUAAAUUAUUAUCGGAGUUGUUAUCUUAGGUAAUUCAGCUGUCCAUCCUUAGAGCAUCCAAGGCUCCUUACUUGAAAAAUAUGCCAGGUGGAACAAAACAGGGAUUUAUCUUCCUAAUUGCAAUUCCAUUGAGAUAAUCCUGAUCAAAAAAAUUUAGUAUAUUUAAGAAUGGAGCUCCUUGAAGCGCCUUGCCAGCGCCCGUAAGCCAGCAGCGCUCUAGAGCGCCUUGCCAGCGCCUUUGGAGCACCUUGCCAGCGCCCUUGGAGCACCUUGCCCUAUUUUUGUACCAUAUCGAUUACAAUACGUUAUAAUGUUAUGAAUGUAAGGAAUGACUUGGUUUAUGAGUUUGUAAAUAUAAACCAGGUUGGCGCCACCCCGUCGCUCCCCGGCGCUUAGGCGCCACCCCGUCGCCGGUGCAAUUCUAUUUUCUUUGAACUAUUUUUGUACCACAUCGAGAACAUAAUGAUAUAUUCUCAUGAAUAUAAUCGGUGAUAUAAUUAUUAGAGAAAAUGGGUAACCCCUGUCGCCGUGGUGCAAGCCCCACCCCUGUCGCCAAUUCAAAUCUUAUUUCCCCACAACCACCUUUGUACCACAUCGAGAAGAUGAUAAUAUAUUCUCAGGAAUAUAAGCAAGAGCUUAGCUAUUAAGUUAAGAAUAUAUUAGUCGAGGCAGGCGCCGCCCUGUCUCCAACCCCGAGGCGCCGCCCUGGCGCCCACUCAAAUGUUANUAUUCUCAGGAAUAUAAGCAAGAGCUUAGCUAUUAAGUUAAGAAUAUAUUAGUCGAGGCAGGCGCCGCCCUGUCUCCAACCCCGAGGCGCCGCCCUGGCGCCCACUCAAAUGUUAUUUUCUUAAACCAAUUUCUUCGUACCACAUCGAGAAGGAGUAAAAGGAGGGUCACUCCUUUCCUUAUAUAUACACAACACAUGCUAGCUUAUUCUAAUUAGGAAGCGCCGCUGCUAAAUUUGAUAUGUCUACUUAUUAAUUCCUAAUUUGUGAUUUAUUUUUAUAGUUUGUUAGCUCAGUUAUUAGGCUAGAUGUAAUUAUAGUAGUAAUAUCGGCGUGACUUAUGAUUAAUAUAUGUGUGAACAUUUUAGGGUAUGAAGUUGUAGACUCGAGAACGUUGUGCACUGUAAGUAUAUACUGUACCCUUCACUGUGAUAUUUUAUGAUGUUUUGGUGAACAUUUUAUUGAUGAUUUUCUUAUCAGAAUUGAGUAUUCUUACAUUUGUUUUGUGUGUUAUGCUUCCUUUGGGAAGUAAAGUGUGAUACCUCCUUCGGGAAGGAAAGCUAAACCAAUUGUUUAGCUGGCCGGGAUCCCAACUUGAUGAACGUGUGAACUUUUGAACGUGUUUGAAUACUCAUACUUAUCUUGAUGUGUGAAACUGUUUUGAUGACUCCGAUGAAAUAUUGAUUUGGUACACCAAAGUUUUGUGAAUAAAACUCAGUUGAAUCAUACGUAUAUGCUUACUGAGCUUUAUAAGCUCAUUUCUUUUUAUGUACUAACUUUGCAGGGAAGAAUUUUGGAGAAGGAUAUUAAGGAUAAUGCUAGGUGAAGAGUGUGAGCUGUUAAGUAUCCAAUAGUCAAGAGAAAUAUUCAGGGAAAUGUUCAAGGUUGGUCUCAGAUAGAAUUGUGUAAUUGAGAUUCAGUUGUAAACUAUAGUUGUAGUAGAUUAAUAGUGAUUCUUCUUAUCGAAGUUGAUCUGAUAACGGUAGUAGUUGAUUCUAAUUUCAAUAAUGUAACUUGGAUGCGAUCCUGUUGUUUUA
RNAcentral lists this long non-coding RNA (4880 nucleotides) under Daucus carota (carrot). RNAcentral describes it as "long non-coding RNA (DCAR_LNC005222)". Lineage: Eukaryota; Viridiplantae; Streptophyta; Magnoliopsida; Apiales; Apiaceae. The record is from RNAcentral.